Molecule: ribosomal RNA, 406 nt
Filed under: uncultured bacterium
Lineage: Bacteria
Description: partial 16S ribosomal RNA
Rfam family: Bacterial small subunit ribosomal RNA
Source: RNAcentral
AUUGAACGCUGGCGGCAGGCCUAACACAUGCAAGUCGAACGAGUGGCAGACGGGUGAGUAAUGUCUGGGACACUGCCUGAUGGAGGGGGAUAACUACUGGAAACGGUGGCUAAUACCGCAUACCCACAGAUGUGCCAAGAUGAGAUUCGCUGGAUGGUGGGGUAACGGCUCACCAAGGCGACGAUCCCUAGCUGGUCUGAGAGGAUGACCAGCCACACUGGAACUGAGACACGGUCCAGACUCCUACGGGAGGCAGCAGUGGGGAAUAUGUCACAAUGGGCGCAAGCCUGAUGCAGCCAUGCCGCGUGUAUGAAGAAGGCCUUCGGGUUGUAAAGUACUUUCAGCGGGGAGGCGUUACCCGCAGAAGAAGCACCGGCUAACUCCGUGCCAGCAGCCGCGGUAAUUC